This 227-nucleotide long non-coding RNA is filed under the name Erythranthe guttata (spotted monkey flower). Its description in RNAcentral is "long non-coding RNA (EGUT_LNC002054)". The record is from RNAcentral. Lineage: Eukaryota; Viridiplantae; Streptophyta; Magnoliopsida; Lamiales; Phrymaceae.
GUUGACUAACAUGAAAUGACUUUUCUACCCUUAUGAAGAUACUUAGUUAAUCAAUUCCCAAAAUUCAUCUUCCCCCAAUUCGCAAAUCAGACUCACUCUCCAAAAUCCUUAUCCACUCCCAAAAACCCUAGAAAUCAAUUUUGUCUGCGAAUCUCCAUUUUGCUGUGCAAAUCGUGAAAUAUACUUGCAACAAACACCAUGUUUGUGUCGUGAAACACCAACUCGGU